AGGCACACCCGGAGAACUGAAACAUCUUAGUACCCGGAGGAAGAGAAAGAAAAUUCGAUUCCCUUAGUAGCGGCGAGCGAAAUGGGAAGAGCCCAAACCAACAAGCUUGCUUGUUGGGGUUGUAGGACACUCUAUACGGAGUUACAAAGGACGACAUUAGACGAAUCAUCUGGAAAGAUGAAUCAAAGAAGGUAAUAAUCCUGUAGUCGAAAAUGUUGUCUCUCUUGAGUGGAUCCUGAGUACGACGGAGCACGUGAAAUUCCGUCGGAAUCUGGGAGGACCAUCUCCUAAGGCUAAAUACUCUCUAGUGACCGAUAGUGAACCAGUACCGUGAGGGAAAGGUGAAAAGCACCCCGGAAGGGGAGUGAAAUAGAACCUGAAACCGUGUGCUUACAAGUAGUCAGAGCCCGUUAAUGGGUGAUGGCGUGCCUUUUGUAGAAUGAACCGGCGAGUUACGAUUUGAUGCAAGGUUAAGCAGUAAAUGUGGAGCCGUAGCGAAAGCGAGUCUGAAUAGGGCGUUUAGUAUUUGGUCGUAGACCCGAAACCAGGUGAUCUACCCUUGGUCAGGUUGAAGUUCAGGUAACACUGAAUGGAGGACCGAACCGACUUACGUUGAAAAGUGAGCGGAUGAACUGAGGGUAGCGGAGAAAUUCCAAUCGAACCUGGAGAUAGCUGGUUCUCUCCGAAAUAGCUUUAGGGCUAGCCUCAAGUGAUGAUUAUUGGAGGUAGAGCACUGUUUGGACGAGGGGCCCCUCUCGGGUUACCGAAUUCAGACAAACUCCGAAUGCCAAUUAAUUUAACUUGGGAGUCAGAACAUGGGUGAUAAGGUCCGUGUUCGAAAGGGAAACAGCCCAGACCACCAGCUAAGGUCCCAAAAUAUAUGUUAAGUGGAAAAGGAUGUGGCGUUGCCCAGACAACUAGGAUGUUGGCUUAGAAGCAGCCAUCAUUUAAAGAGUGCGUAAUAGCUCACUAGUCGAGUGACACUGCGCCGAAAAUGUACCGGGGCUAAACAUAUUACCGAAGCUGUGGAUUGUCCUUUGGACAAUGGUAGGAGAGCGUUCUAAGGGCGUUGAAGCAUGAUCGUAAGGACAUGUGGAGCGCUUAGAAGUGAGAAUGCCGGUGUGAGUAGCGAAAGACGGGUGAGAAUCCCGUCCACCGAUUGACUAAGGUUUCCAGAGGAAGGCUCGUCCGCUCUGGGUUAGUCGGGUCCUAAGCUGAGGCCGACAGGCGUAGGCGAUGGAUAACAGGUUGAUAUUCCUGUACCACCUAUAAUCGUUUUAAUCGAUGGGGGGACGCAGUAGGAUAGGCGAAGCGUGCGAUUGGAUUGCACGUCUAAGCAGUAAGGCUGAGUAUUAGGCAAAUCCGGUACUCGUUAAGGCUGAGCUGUGAUGGGGAGAAGACAUUGUGUCUUCGAGUCGUUGAUUUCACACUGCCGAGAAAAGCCUCUAGAUAGAAAAUAGGUGCCCGUACCGCAAACCGACACAGGUAGUCAAGAUGAGAAUUCUAAGGUGAGCGAGCGAACUCUCGUUAAGGAACUCGGCAAAAUGACCCCGUAACUUCGGGAGAAGGGGUGCUCUUUAGGGUUAACGCCCAGAAGAGCCGCAGUGAAUAGGCCCAAGCGACUGUUUAUCAAAAACACAGGUCUCUGCUAAACCGUAAGGUGAUGUAUAGGGGCUGACGCCUGCCCGGUGCUGGAAGGUUAAGAGGAGUGGUUAGCUUCUGCGAAGCUACGAAUCGAAGCCCCAGUAAACGGCGGCCGUAACUAUAACGGUCCUAAGGUAGCGAAAUUCCUUGUCGGGUAAGUUCCGACCCGCACGAAAGGCGUAACGAUUUGGGCACUGUCUCAACGAGAGACUCGGUGAAAUCAUAGUACCUGUGAAGAUGCAGGUUACCCGCGACAGGACGGAAAGACCCCGUGGAGCUUUACUGUAGCCUGAUAUUGAAAUUCGGCACAGCUUGUACAGGAUAGGUAGGAGCCUUUGAAACGUGAGCGCUAGCUUACGUGGAGGCGCUGGUGGGAUACUACCCUAGCUGUGUUGGCUUUCUAACCCGCACCACUUAUCGUGGUGGGAGACAGUGUCAGGCGGGCAGUUUGACUGGGGCGGUCGCCUCCUAAAAGGUAACGGAGGCGCUCAAAGGUUCCCUCAGAAUGGUUGGAAAUCAUUCAUAGAGUGUAAAGGCAUAAGGGAGCUUGACUGCGAGACCUACAAGUCGAGCAGGGUCGAAAGACGGACUUAGUGAUCCGGUGGUUCCGCAUGGAAGGGCCAUCGCUCAACGGAUAAAAGCUACCCCGGGGAUAACAGGCUUAUCUCCCCCAAGAGUUCACAUCGACGGGGAGGUUUGGCACCUCGAUGUCGGCUCAUCGCAUCCUGGGGCUGUAGUCGGUCCCAAGGGUUGGGCUGUUCGCCCAUUAAAGCGGUACGCGAGCUGGGUUCAGAACGUCGUGAGACAGUUCGGUCCCUAUCCGUCGUGGGCGUAGGAAAUUUGAGAGGAGCUGUCCUUAGUACGAGAGGACCGGGAUGGACAUACCUCUGGUGUACCAGUUGUCGUGCCAACGGCAUAGCUGGGUAGCUAUGUGUGGACGGGAUAAGUGCUGAAAGCAUCUAAGCAUGAAGCCCCCCUCAAGAUGAGAUUUCCCAACUUCGGUUAUAAGAUCCCUCAAAGAUGAUGAGGUUAAUAGGUUCGAGGUGGAAGCAUGGUGACAUGUGGAGCUGACGAAUACUAAUCGAUCGAAGACUUAAUCAA
Molecule: ribosomal RNA, 2745 nt
Filed under: Staphylococcus aureus F66778
Lineage: Bacteria; Bacillati; Bacillota; Bacilli; Caryophanales; Staphylococcaceae
Description: bacterial LSU rRNA
Rfam family: Bacterial large subunit ribosomal RNA
Source: RNAcentral